GCCAUCAUGGCUCAGUUGGUAGAGCAACGCAUUCGUAAUGCGUGGGUCGGGGGUUCGAGUCCCCCUGAUGGCU
RNAcentral lists this transfer RNA (73 nucleotides) under Bacteroidaceae bacterium. RNAcentral's name for it is "tRNA-Thr". It matches the Rfam family "tRNA". Rfam says of the family: Transfer RNA (tRNA) molecules are approximately 80 nucleotides in length. Their secondary structure includes four short double-helical elements and three loops (D, anti-codon, and T loops). Further hydrogen bonds mediate the characteristic L-shaped molecular structure. tRNAs have two regions of fundamental functional importance: the anti-codon, which is responsible for specific mRNA codon recognition, and the 3' end, to which the tRNAs corresponding amino acid is attached (by aminoacyl-tRNA synthetases). tRNAs cope with the degeneracy of the genetic code in two manners: having more than one tRNA (with a specific anti-codon) for a particular amino acid; and 'wobble' base-pairing, i.e. permitting non-standard base-pairing at the 3rd anti-codon position. Lineage: Bacteria; Pseudomonadati; Bacteroidota; Bacteroidia; Bacteroidales; Bacteroidaceae. RNAcentral also lists the same sequence under 1 other name. The record is from RNAcentral.